Molecule: ribosomal RNA, 253 nt
Filed under: uncultured bacterium
Lineage: Bacteria
Description: partial 16S ribosomal RNA
Rfam family: Bacterial small subunit ribosomal RNA
Source: RNAcentral
UACGUAGGGUGCGAGCGUUGUCCGGAAUUAUUGGGCGUAAAGAGCUUGUAGGUGGUUUGUCGCGUCUGCUGUGAAAAUCCGAGGCUCAACCUCGGACUUGCAGUGGGUACGGGCAGACUAGAGUGUGGUAGGGGAGACUGGAAUUCCUGGUGUAGCGGUGAAAUGCGCAGAUAUCAGGAGGAACACCAGUGGCGAAGGCGGUUGCCUGGAGCUUUGCUGACGCUGAGGCGCGAAAGCGUGGGGAGCGAUCCGG